Molecule: non-coding RNA, 72 nt
Filed under: Carnobacterium maltaromaticum
Lineage: Bacteria; Bacillati; Bacillota; Bacilli; Lactobacillales; Carnobacteriaceae
Description: L17DE
Rfam family: L17 ribosomal protein downstream element
Source: RNAcentral
AGAGUGUUACGAUGAUGGAAAUUUAUUUCCAAGUCUAGCUCGAAACUUCUCCUGGAACUUCGCUUUCAGGAG